Molecule: non-coding RNA, 54 nt
Organism: Salmo salar (Atlantic salmon)
Lineage: Eukaryota; Metazoa; Chordata; Actinopteri; Salmoniformes; Salmonidae
Source: Rfam
UGCACUCACUACUGUAAGUCUCUCUGGAUAAGAGCGUCUGCUAAAUGACUAAAA